GGGUUCCGCGCAGUGUGAUGUCGUGAACCCCGUCAGAUCCGGAAGGAAGCAGCGGUAGCGGCCUAUGGCGCGUGCCGCGGGUGU
Molecule: signal recognition particle RNA, 84 nt
Filed under: marine eukaryotic metagenome
Description: Bacterial small signal recognition particle RNA
Rfam family: Bacterial small signal recognition particle RNA
About the family: The signal recognition particle (SRP) is a universally conserved ribonucleoprotein involved in the co-translational targeting of proteins to membranes. Archaeal SRP consists of a 7S RNA and homologues of the eukaryotic SRP19 and SRP54 proteins.
Source: RNAcentral